Molecule: ribosomal RNA, 468 nt
Filed under: uncultured bacterium
Lineage: Bacteria
Description: partial 16S ribosomal RNA
Rfam family: Bacterial small subunit ribosomal RNA
Source: RNAcentral
GACGAACGCUGGCGGCGUGCUUAACACAUGCAAGUCGAACGGAAAGGCCCUGCUUUUGUGGGGUGCUCGAGUGGCGAACGGGUGAGUAACACGUGAGUAACCUGCCCUUGACUUUGGGAUAACUUCAGGAAACUGGGGCUAAUACCGGAUAUGAGCUCCUGCUGCAUGGUGGGGGUUGGAAAGUUUCGGCGGUUGGGGAUGGACUCGCGGCUUAUCAGCUUGUUGGUGGGGUAGUGGCUUACCAAGGCUUUGACGGGUAGCCGGCCUGAGAGGGUGACCGGCCACAUUGGGCCUGAGAUACGGCCCAGACUCCAACGGGAGGCAGCAGUGGGGAAUAUUGCACAAUGGGCGGAAGCCUGAUGCAGCAACGCCGCGUGCGGGAUGACGGCCUUCGGGCUGUAAACCGCUUUAGCCUGUGACGAAGCGUGAGUGACGGUAAUGGGUAAAGAAGCACCGGCUAACUACGUG